Molecule: ribosomal RNA, 129 nt
Filed under: Pteropus alecto (black flying fox)
Lineage: Eukaryota; Metazoa; Chordata; Mammalia; Chiroptera; Pteropodidae
Source: RNAcentral
AGCUGUAAUCAAAGUAGAUUUAAAAAUGAGAGAGACAUUUGAUCCCGUCUGAGCUUGGAAGCUAAGCAGGGUUGGGCCUGGUUAGUACUUGGAUGGGAGACCACCUAGGAAGACCAGGUGCUGUAGAUG